This 148-nucleotide non-coding RNA is filed under the name Gorilla gorilla gorilla (western lowland gorilla). The record is from Rfam by way of RNAcentral. Lineage: Eukaryota; Metazoa; Chordata; Mammalia; Primates; Hominidae.
GCUGGGCAUGGUGGUGCAUGCCUGUAGUCCCAGCUACCUGGGAGGCUGAGGCAGAAGAACUGCUUGAGCCCUGGAGGCAGAGGUUGCAGUGAGCUGAGAUUGCGCCACUGCACUCCAACCUGGGCAACAGAGUGAGACUCUGCCUCAA